GACGAACGCUGGCGGCGUGCUUAACACAUGCAAGUCGAACGGAAAGGCCUGCUUUCCCUUGUGGAUUGCGGGUACUCGAGUGGCGAACGGGUGAGUAACACGCGAGUGAUCUGCCCCCAACUUGGGUAUAAGCCUGGGAAACUGGGUCUAAUUCCCGAUAGAACUGCAGGGUGGUGUCUGUGGUGGAAAACGAUUUUCUAGUGGUUGGGGAUGAGCUCGCGCCCUAUCAGCUUGUUGGUGGGGUAAUGGCCUACCCAGGCGACGGCGGGUAGCCGAAGUGGGAGUGGGAGCGUGGACAGCGGCAUUGAGACAGGGUCCCGGCCCAGACUCGUGCGGGAGGCAGCAGAGGGGACUAUUGCACAAAGAGCGGGAGGGUGAUGCAGCGAGGGAGCGUGGGAGAUGUCGGCCUUCGGGUUGUCAGCUACUUGGGACCGCGAGGAGGGUAAGUGGUUGGAAGGGUGGUGACGGUAGUGGUAGAAGAAGCCCCGGCUAACUACGUG
This 500-nucleotide ribosomal RNA is filed under the name uncultured bacterium. Its description in RNAcentral is "partial 16S ribosomal RNA". It matches the Rfam family "Bacterial small subunit ribosomal RNA", at positions 28 to 507 of the family's 1533-position model. The record is from RNAcentral.